UCGGUGCCGCAGCUAACGCAUUAAGUACUCCGCCUGGGAAGUACGCUCGCAAGAGUGAAACCCAAAGGAAUUGACGGGGACCCGCCCAAGUAGCGGAGCAUGUGGUUUCAUUCGACGCAACGCGAAGAACCUUACCUAAGCUUGACAUCCCAAUGACAUCUCCUUAAUCGGAGAGUUCCCUUCGGGGACAUUGGUGACAGGUGGUGCAUGGUU
RNAcentral lists this ribosomal RNA (213 nucleotides) under Clostridioides difficile. RNAcentral's name for it is "partial 16S ribosomal RNA". It matches the Rfam family "Bacterial small subunit ribosomal RNA", at positions 840 to 1050 of the family's 1533-position model. Lineage: Bacteria; Bacillati; Bacillota; Clostridia; Peptostreptococcales; Peptostreptococcaceae. The record is from RNAcentral.